RNAcentral lists this long non-coding RNA (419 nucleotides) under Rattus norvegicus (Norway rat). RNAcentral describes it as "long non-coding RNA NONRATT027912". Lineage: Eukaryota; Metazoa; Chordata; Mammalia; Rodentia; Muridae. The record is from RNAcentral.
AGAAGCAGCAGGAGGAGGAGGCGGAGAGGCUGAGGCGCAUCCAAGAGGAGAUGGAAAAGGAAAGGAAGAGACGCGAAGAAGACGAACAGCGUCGGCGGAAGGAGGAGGAGGAGAGGCGGAUGAAACUUGAGAUGGAAGUGAAGAGAAAACAAGAAGAAGAGGAAAGGAAGAAGCGGGAAGAUGAUGAGAAGCGCAUCCAGGCUGAGGUGGAGGCACAGCUGGCAAGACAGCGGGAAGAGGAGUCCCAGCAGCAGGCGGUCCUGGCACAGGAGUGCAGGGACAGGGAGUUGGCCCUGCGCAUCGCCCAGAACGAGUCGGAGCUCAUCAGUGAUGAGGCUCAGGGUGACACGGCACUCCGAAGCUCAAGUUCCUGCCCAGCAAGUUCUAAAACUAAUGGAACCAGACCCCAAAUGACACCG